RNAcentral lists this ribosomal RNA (468 nucleotides) under uncultured bacterium. RNAcentral's name for it is "partial 16S ribosomal RNA". It matches the Rfam family "Bacterial small subunit ribosomal RNA", at positions 28 to 507 of the family's 1533-position model. The record is from RNAcentral.
GACGAACGCUGGCGGCGUGCUUAACACAUGCAAGUCGAACGGAAAGGCCCUGCUUUUGUGGGGUGCUCGAGUGGCGAACGGGUGAGUAACACGUGAGUAACCUGCUCUUGACUUUGGUAUAACUUCAGGAAACUGGGGCUAAUACCGGAUAGGAGCUCCUGCUGCAUGGUGGGGGUUGGAAAGUUUCGGCGGUUGGGGAUGGACUCGCGGCUUAUCAGCUUGUUGGUGGGGUAGUGGCUUACCAAGGCUUUGACGGGUAGCCGGCCUGAGAGGGUGACCGGCCACAUUGGGACUGAGAUACGGCCCAGACUCCUACGGGAGGCAGCAGUGGGGAAUAUUGCACAAUGGGCGGAAGCCUGAUGCAGCAACGCCGCGUGCGGGAUGACGGCCUUCGGGUUGUAAACCGCUUUCGCCUGUGACGAAGCGUGAGUGACGGUAAUGGGUAAAGAAGCACCGGCUAACUACGUG